This 638-nucleotide ribosomal RNA is filed under the name uncultured bacterium. RNAcentral's name for it is "bacterial SSU rRNA". It matches the Rfam family "Bacterial small subunit ribosomal RNA", at positions 28 to 686 of the family's 1533-position model. The record is from RNAcentral.
AUUGAACGCUGGCGGCAUGGUUAAAACAUGCAAGUCGAACGUGACUUGUAGCAAUACAAGUUAAGUGGCGAAAGGGCGAGUAAUGCAUUUCUAACGUACCCCAAGCUCAGGGACAGCUCACCGAAAGGUGAAUUAAUACCUGAUGAUGAUGACGAACCGUAUGGCUUGUCAUUCAAAGAUUUAUCGGCUUGGGAGCGGGGAAUGUCCUAUCAGGUAGUUGGUGAGGUAAUUGCUCACCAAGCCUUAGACGGGUAGCGGGUGUGAGAGCACGGCCCGCCGCAUCGGAACUGAGACACUGUCCGGACUCCUACGGGAGGCUGCAGUAACGAAUAUUCCGCAAUGGGCGAAAGCCUGACGGAGCAAUGCCGCGUGCAGGAUGAAGCCCCUCGGGGUGUAAACUGCUGUCAGAGUUUACUAACACAAUGAAGAGACUCAAAGGAAGAGACGGCUAACUCUGUGCCAGCAGCCGCGGUAAUACAGAGGUCUCGAGCGUUAAUCGGAGUCACUGGGCUUAAAGGGUGCGUAGGCUGCGCUACAAGUGCCUUGUGAAAUCCCACCGCUCAACGGUGGAAUUGCUCGGUAGACUGUAGUGCUUGAGGUUGGUAGGGGCUGCCGGAACUCUAGGUGGAGCGGUGAAA